RNAcentral lists this transfer RNA (86 nucleotides) under Planctomycetes bacterium ADurb.Bin069. Its description in RNAcentral is "tRNA-Tyr". It matches the Rfam family "tRNA". Rfam says of the family: Transfer RNA (tRNA) molecules are approximately 80 nucleotides in length. Their secondary structure includes four short double-helical elements and three loops (D, anti-codon, and T loops). RNAcentral also lists the same sequence under 1 other name. The record is from RNAcentral. Lineage: Bacteria; Pseudomonadati; Planctomycetota.
GGGGAGGUGCCCGAGCUGGCCAAUGGGGGCGGACUGUAAAUCCGCUGCGUUACGCUACAGAGGUUCGAAUCCUCUCCUCCCCACCA